RNAcentral lists this ribosomal RNA (449 nucleotides) under uncultured bacterium. RNAcentral describes it as "partial 16S ribosomal RNA". It matches the Rfam family "Bacterial small subunit ribosomal RNA", at positions 29 to 523 of the family's 1533-position model. The record is from RNAcentral.
AACGAACGCUGGCGGCACGCCUAACACGUGCAAGUCGAACGAAGGCUUCGGCCUUAGUGGCGCACGGGUGAGUAACGCGUGGGAAACUGCCUAUUGGUGGGGAAUAACGACGGGAAACUGUCGCUAAUACCGCAUAAGCCCUUCGGGGGAAAGAUUUAUCGCCGAUAGAUGUGCCCGCGUCCGAUUAGCUAGUUGGUGAGGUAAUGGCUCACCAAGGCGACGAUCGGUAGCUGGUCUGAGAGGAUGAUCAGCCACACUGGGACUGAGACACGGCCCAGACUCCUACGGGAGGCAGCAGUGGGGAAUAUUGGACAAUGGGCGAAAGCCUGAUCCAGCAAUGCCGCGUGAGUGAUGAAGGCCUUAGGGUUGUAAAGCUCUUUCGGGUGGGACGAUGAUGACGGUACCACCAGAAGAAGCCCCGGCUAACUUCGUGCCAGCCGCCGCCGUAA